RNAcentral lists this ribosomal RNA (923 nucleotides) under uncultured candidate division AC1 bacterium. Its description in RNAcentral is "bacterial SSU rRNA". It matches the Rfam family "Bacterial small subunit ribosomal RNA", at positions 81 to 977 of the family's 1533-position model. The record is from RNAcentral.
UAGGAAGGCAGUGAGUGGCAGACGGGUGAGUAAUACGUGGGUAAUCUACCUUCGAGUGGGGAAUAACCCUGCUAACGUGGGGCUAAUACCGCAUGAUGCCCUCGGUCGGCAUCGGCUGGGGGCCAAAGGCGGCCUCUGCUCGCAUGCUGUCGCUUGAAGAUGAGCCCGCGUCCUAUCAGCUUGUUGGCGGGGUAACGGCCCACCAAGGCGAUGACGGGUAGCUGGUGUGAGAGCAUGACCAGCCACAAUGGAACUGAGACACGGUCCAUACUCCUACGGGAGGCAGCAGUCGGGAAUUUUGCGCAAUGGGGGAAACCCUGACGCAGCGACGCCGCGUGCGCGAUGAAGCCCUUCGGGGUGUAAAGCGCUUUUAUCCCGAACGAACCUCCCGCCCGAUAACACCGGGCGGGACUGACGGUACGGGAUGAAUAAGCCUCGGCUAACUCCGUGCCAGCAGCCGCGGUAAGACGGGGGAGGCAAGCGUUGUCCGGAAUUACUGGGUGUAAAGGGCAGGCAGGCGGACUCGUAAGUCCAGGGUGAAAUCCAUCGGCUCAACCGGUCGGACGGCCCCGGAUACUGCGAGCCUUGAGUCGAGCAGGGGAGAGGGGAAUUCCUGGUGUAGCGGUGAAAUGCGUAGAUAUCAGGAGGAACACCGGUGGCGAAGGCGCCUCUCUGGGCUCGCACUGACGCUCAUACUGCGAAAGCUGGGGGAGCAAACAGGAUUAGAUACCCUGGUAGUCCCAGCCCUAAACGAUGGAUGUUAGGUGUUGGAGGUAUUGACCCCUCCAGUGCCGCAGCUAACGCAUUAAACAUCCCACCUGGGGAGUACGGUCGCAAGAUUAAAACUCAAAGGAAUUGACGGGGACCCGCACAAGCGGUGGAUGAUGUGGAUUAAUUCGAUGCAACGCGAAAAACCUUACCUA